GAGAGCUUGCUCUCGGGUGACGAGUGGCGGACGGGUGAGUAAUGUCUGGGAAACUGCCCGAUGGAGGGGGAUAACUACUGGAAACGGUAGCUAAUACCGCAUAACGUCUUCGGACCAAAGUGGGGGACCUUCGGGCCUCACACCAUCGGAUGUGCCCAGAUGGGAUUAGCUAGUAGGUGGGGUAACGGCUCACCUAGGCGACGAUCCCUAGCUGGUCUGAGAGGAUGACCAGCCACACUGGAACUGAGACACGGUCCAGACUCCUACGGGAGGCAGCAGUGGGGAAUAUUGCACAAUGGGCGCAAGCCUGAUGCAGCCAUGCCGCGUGUAUGAAGAAGGCCUUCGGGUUGUAAACUACUUUCAGUGGGGAGGAAGGCGAUGAAGUUAAUAACUUCGUCGAUUGACGUUACCCGCAGAAGAAGCACCGGCUAACUCCGUGCCAGCAGCCGCGGUAAUACGGAGGGUGCAAGCGUUAAUCGGAAUUACUGGGCGUAAAGCGCACGCAGGCGGUCUGUCAAGUCGGAUGUGAAAUCCCCGGGCUCAACCUGGGAACUGCAUUCGAAACUGGCAGGCUAGAGUCUUGUAGAGGGGGGUAGAAUUCGAGGUGUAGCGGUGAAAUGCGUAGAGAUCUGGAGGAAUACCGGUGGCGAAGGCGGCCCCCUGGACAAAGACUGACGCUCAGGUGCGAAAGCGUGGGGAGCAAACAGGAUAAGAUACCCUGGUAGUCCACGCCGUAAACGAUGUCGACUUGGAGGUUGUGCCCUUGAGGCGUGGCUUCCGGAGCUAACGCGUUAAGUCGACCGCCUGGGGAGUACGGCCGCAAGGUUAAAACUCAAAUGAAUUGACGGGGGCCCGCACAAGCGGUGGUGCAUGCGGUUUAAUUCGAUGCAACGCGAACAACCUUACCUGGCCUUGACAUCCACGGAAUUUGGCAGAGAUGCCUUAGUGCCUUCGGGAACCGUGAGACAGGUGCUGCAUGGCUGUCGUCAGUUCGUGUUGUGAAAUGUAGGGUUAAGUCCCGCAACGAGCGCAACCCUUAUCCUUUGUUGCCAGCACGUAAUGGUGGGAACUCAAAGGAGACUGCCGGUGAUAAACCGGAGGAAGGUGGGGAUGACGUCAAGUCAUCAUGGCCCUUACGGCCAGGGCUACACACGUGCUACAAUGGCGCAUACAAAGAGAAGCGACCUCGCGAGAGCAAGCGGACCUCAUAAAGUGCGUCGUAGUCCGGAUCGGAGUCUGCAACUCGACUCCGUGAAGUCGGAAUCGCUAGUAAUCGUAGAUCAGAAUGCUACGGUGAAUACGUUCCCGGGCCUUGUACACACCGCCCGUCACACCAUGGGAGUGGGUUGCAAAAGAAG
This 1358-nucleotide ribosomal RNA is filed under the name Erwinia rhapontici. Its description in RNAcentral is "bacterial SSU rRNA". It matches the Rfam family "Bacterial small subunit ribosomal RNA", at positions 74 to 1426 of the family's 1533-position model. The record is from RNAcentral. Lineage: Bacteria; Pseudomonadati; Pseudomonadota; Gammaproteobacteria; Enterobacterales; Erwiniaceae.